This 240-nucleotide unclassified non-coding RNA is filed under the name soil metagenome. RNAcentral's name for it is "partial contains 5.8S ribosomal RNA, internal transcribed spacer 2, and large subunit ribosomal RNA". The record is from RNAcentral.
AACGCACGAGACCUGCGGACCUGCGGAGGGAUCAUUAAUGAGAAGCUGCCCCUCGUGGGUAGACCUCCCACCCUCUGUGAACUUACCUUUGUUGCUUUGGCAGGCCCGUCCUCUGGACCGCCGGCUUCGGCUGGCCCGUGCCUGCCAGAGGAUUCCAAACCCUGUCUGUCAGUGUUGUCUGAGUCUAUAUGAAAUCGUUAAAACUUUCAACAAUGGAUCUCUAGAUCGGAAGAGCACACG